GGAUCCAGGCUUUGAUUCUGGCUCGGGAUGAACGCUAGCUACAGGCUUAACACAUGCAAGUCGAGGGGCAGCGGGAUUGAAGCUUGCUUCAAUUGCCGGCGACCGGCGCACGGGUGAGUAACGCGUAUCCAACCUUCCGUACACUCAGGGAUAGCCUUUCGAAAGAAAGAUUAAUACCUGAUGGUAUGAUGAGAUUGCAUGAUAGCAUCAUUAAAGAUUUAUCGGUGUACGAUGGGGAUGCGUUCCAUUAGGUAGUAGGCGGGGUAACGGCCCACCUAGCCAACGAUGGAUAGGGGUUCUGAGAGGAAGGUCCCCCACAUUGGAACUGAGACACGGUCCAAACUCCUACGGGAGGCAGCAGUGAGGAAUAUUGGUCAAUGGACGAGAGUCUGAACCAGCCAAGUAGCGCGAAGGAUGAAGGUCUUACGGAUUGUAAACUUCUUUUAUAUGGGAAUAAACCCUCCCACGUGUGGGAGCUUGUAUGUACCUUAUGAAUAAGCAUCGGCUAACUCCGUGCCAGCAGCCGCGGUAAUACGGAGGAUGCGAGCGUUAUCCGGAUUUAUUGGGUUUAAAGGGAGCGCAGACGGGUCGUUAAGUCAGCUGUGAAAGUUUGGGGCUCAACCUUAAAAUUGCAGUUGAUACUGGCGUCCUUGAGUGCGGUUGAGGUGUGCGGAAUUCGUGGUGUAGCGGUGAAAUGCUUAGAUAUCACGAAGAACUCCGAUUGCGAAGGCAGCACACUAAUCCGUAACUGACGUUCAUGCUCGAAAGUGUGGGUAUCAAACAGGAUUAGAUACCCUGGUAGUCCACACGGUAAACGAUGGAUACUCGCUGUUGGCGAUAUACUGUCAGCGGCUUAGCGAAAGCGUUAAGUAUCCCACCUGGGGAGUACGCC
RNAcentral lists this ribosomal RNA (892 nucleotides) under uncultured Bacteroidota bacterium. RNAcentral describes it as "bacterial SSU rRNA". It matches the Rfam family "Bacterial small subunit ribosomal RNA", at positions 1 to 886 of the family's 1533-position model. Lineage: Bacteria; Pseudomonadati; Bacteroidota. The record is from RNAcentral.